CUCCCUGGUCGACCAGAGAAGAACCCAGGGGCGACACCCACCUUCCAAACCCUAGAUUUCACCUAAAGCUCACAAAUUGGAGCCCUUAAUCUGCUCUAAAUCAAGUUUCAAACACGGAUUAGUGAUCACCUCGUUGCGGGGAUCAAAAGGUGGGAGCUUGUGGAUGAAGCGGGUCAAACGGAUUAAGAACGGAAGGAAAAGCAUGGCAUGGAUGCGAGGUAAGUAAAGCUUACACCCAUUUGUAGUAAACGUAUGUAUUUUAUAGAUGAUAAAUGUGACAACCGAUUACAUUCGAAAUUGAAGUUCCGACACUAAGCGAUAUGAGUCGGAACGAAUAAAAAUGAUCAAAACCAUGGUUAAUGGUAAAAUGGACAAAAGGGUAAUUUAGUCGUGAAUCGACUAAGAAUUUAUAAGAUUUCUUUAAGGUUACCUUAUAGCGAAACUAGUAA
Long non-coding RNA from Helianthus annuus (common sunflower), 449 nucleotides. RefSeq lists it as uncharacterized. Lineage: Eukaryota; Viridiplantae; Streptophyta; Magnoliopsida; Asterales; Asteraceae. The record is from RefSeq and is a predicted model, not a curated record. The transcript has 2 exons.